Molecule: ribosomal RNA, 156 nt
Filed under: Dioszegia crocea
Lineage: Eukaryota; Fungi; Basidiomycota; Tremellomycetes; Tremellales; Bulleribasidiaceae
Description: 5.8S ribosomal RNA
Rfam family: 5.8S ribosomal RNA
About the family: 5.8S ribosomal RNA (5.8S rRNA) is a component of the large subunit of the eukaryotic ribosome. It is transcribed by RNA polymerase I as part of the 45S precursor that also contains 18S and 28S rRNA. Functionally, it is thought that 5.8S rRNA may be involved in ribosome translocation.
Source: RNAcentral
UAACUUUCAACAACGGAUCUCUUGGCUCUCACAUCGAUGAAGAACGCAGCGAAAUGCGAUAAGUAAUGUGAAUUGCAAAAUACAGUGAAUCAUCGAAUCUUUGAACGCAGAUUGCGCCCUUUGGUAUUCCGAAGGGCAUGCCUGUUUGAGUGUCUU